RNAcentral lists this ribosomal RNA (1052 nucleotides) under Porphyromonas gingivalis. Its description in RNAcentral is "bacterial SSU rRNA". It matches the Rfam family "Bacterial small subunit ribosomal RNA", at positions 8 to 1051 of the family's 1533-position model. The record is from RNAcentral. Lineage: Bacteria; Pseudomonadati; Bacteroidota; Bacteroidia; Bacteroidales; Porphyromonadaceae.
AGAGUUUGAUCAUGGCUCAGGAUGAACGCUAGCGAUAGGCUUAACACAUGCAAGUCGAGGGGCAGCAUGAUCUUAGCUUGCUAAGGUUGAUGGCGACCGGCGCACGGGUGCGUAACGCGUAUGCAACUUGCCUUACAGAGGGGGAUAACCCGUUGAAAGACGGACUAAAACCGCAUACACUUGUAUUAUUGCAUGAUAUUACAAGGAAAUAUUUAUAGCUGUAAGAUAGGCAUGCGUCCCAUUAGCUGGUUGGUGAGGUAACGGCUCACCAAGGCGACGAUGGGUAGGGGAACUGAGAGGUUUAUCCCCCACACUGGUACUGAGACACGGACCAGACUCCUACGGGAGGCAGCAGUGAGGAAUAUUGGUCAAUGGGCGAGAGCCUGAACCAGCCAAGUCGCGUGAAGGAAGACAGUCCUAAGGAUUGUAAACUUCUUUUAUACGGGAAUAACGGGCGAUACGAGUAUUGCAUUGAAUGUACCGUAAGAAUAAGCAUCGGCUAACUCCGUGCCAGCAGCCGCGGUAAUACGGAGGAUGCGAGCGUUAUCCGGAUUUAUUGGGUUUAAAGGGUGCGUAGGUUGUUCGGUAAGUCAGCGGUGAAACCUGAGCGCUCAACGUUCAGCCUGCCGUUGAAACUGCCGGGCUUGAGUUCAGUGGCGGCAGGCGGAAUUCGUGGUGUAGCGGUGAAAUGCAUAGAUAUCACGAGGAACUCCGAUUGCGAAAGCAGCUUGCCAUACUGCGACUGACACUGAAGCACGAAAGCGUGGGUAUCAAACAGGAUUAGAUACCCUGGUAGUCCACGCAGUAAACGAUGAUUACUAGGAGUUUGCGAUAUACCGUCAAGCUUCCACAGCGAAAGCGUUAAGUAAUCCACCUGGGGAGUACGCCGGCAACGGUGAAACUCAAAGGAAUUGACGGGGGCCCGCACAAGCGGAGGAACAUGUGGUUUAAUUCGAUGAUACGCGAGGAACCUUACCCGGGAUUGAAAUGUAGAUGACGGAUGGUGAAAACCGUCUUCCCUUCGGGGCUUCUAUGUAGGUGCUGCAUGGUUG